AAGCCAAAACAGUUGGUAUAUAUAAAGGGUAUUCUGUCAUUUUCACUGAAAGUCCACAUAUUUCUCUCAACGUUUCUUUCUCAAAAGUAAGUGUUACCAACAGAAUUCUCCCGUAAAAAACAACACAACAUUAGAAGAAACUUCUUAGUCAGCAAAUAUGGCAUCAGAAACAACUGACAAAUUGUUCCAUUCAUUCAUAACGAAAGCAGCAACAGAGACUGCACGAGAGCAAUGCCCCGAUAAGACUUUGGACAAAAAAACAGUUGAUGAAAUCCGGAAUAAAGCCGAAUCAACAGUUAAAGAGCUAUCGCAAACCUUACAUAACAUAAGGAAGGAAGGUAAGAAGGGCGAACAGGCAGUUUCACAUUUGACACCAGAACGGAUAACAAAGAUGAAGAAAGCCCUUGAAAUGAAAACUUAUCAAAUAAACAUCAACGAAAAAGAGAAAAAAGCUCAAAUUAAGAGAAAUGGAAAAGAAAUGUAUCCUGCUAUUACCCUUGGUUCAUCAGUAAAUUUGAAGCAGGCAAGUGAUUUGCAAACAGCUAGCAUUGUUGUAGAAGCUAUCAUUCUCGUCCUUGAGAUAAUUGGAAUUGGAAUUCCUGAUGACGAAGCAGAAGUUAAGAAAGUUAUCAAUAUUGUCAUAGAAGAACUGGGAAAAGAUAAUACCCUGCUACAAGACGUUGAACAGAUACGUAAAGAUCAAGACGAUUUUCCAGCUAUGGCAAAAGAUAUUUUUAUGCUAGUAGUUGAUGCCUUUGAAGACGGUAUCUUCUGGAAGAUAACGAAAGCACUUCUUUCGGAUAUGCCCUGGUACGAUUGGAUCUUGACCUCUGCACAGAUUGCUGCUUUCAUUACGAUGUUGGUUGCUACCGGUGGACUUGCAGACAUCGCUUUGUUAGUUACGAAGUUAGCAGAUGCUGCAUUCUUUUUAGAAAAGCUUGUAAAUCUAGGAACCCUCAGCAGAAUGAAGAUGUCUCUUUAGGCAUCUUAAUUUGUCGAAUGUAUACCCUAUCUCACAAAAAUUGUAGAACAUUUGCGGAGAUUUUUCAUUUAUAAAUAAUAUGAAUAGCUUAGAUUUUAGUUAGAACUUUCAAAAUUAUUCAAUAAGAUACAAAUAAAUCAAACGAAAAUGGCCAUAGAAGUUGUGUACAAAAUUUGAAAAAGUUUGUAAACCGGAUCUGAAUGCAUGCAAUAUAUGUAAUAUGUGAUGAUGUUACAUGAAACAAUAAAUACACUAACAUUAAUGCUUGGUUUCUUCAACUGGUUUUUUUUCCUAACUAAAAUUUGUUUAAUCUAUUAAUCUAUAUACUAAUAUGUACACUUUGCAAUUGUAAUUUAAAUCAUGAAACAAAUUAAAAUAGUGCUGUGA
Long non-coding RNA from Mytilus californianus (California mussel), 1369 nucleotides. RefSeq lists it as uncharacterized. The record is from RefSeq and is a predicted model, not a curated record. The transcript is spliced from 3 exons. Lineage: Eukaryota; Metazoa; Mollusca; Bivalvia; Mytilida; Mytilidae.